Molecule: transfer RNA, 62 nt
Filed under: Desmophyllum pertusum
Lineage: Eukaryota; Metazoa; Cnidaria; Anthozoa; Scleractinia; Caryophylliidae
Description: tRNA-Thr
Source: RNAcentral
UCGACUGUAGCUCAGUGGUAGAGUGUCCGACUGGUGUGCGGAAGGUCUCAACUCCUGUUGGG